AACGAACGCUGGCGGCAUGCCUAACACAUGCAAGUCGAACGAGACCUUCGGGUCUAGUGUCGCACGGGUGCGUAACGCGUGGGAACCUGCCCUUAGGUUCGGAAUAACUCCCCGAAAGGGGUGCUAAUACCGGAUAAUGUCUUCGGCCCAAAGAUUUAUCGCCUUUGGAUGGGCCCGCGUUGGAUUCGCUAGUUGGUAGGGUAAAAGCCUACCAAGGCGACGAUCCAUAGCUGGUCUGAGAGGAUGAUCAGCCACACUGGGACUGAGACACGGCCCAGACUCCUACGGGAGGAAGCAGUGGGGAAUAUUGGACAAUGGGCGAAAGCCUGAUCCAGCAAUGCCGCGUGAGUGAUGAAGGCCUUAGGGUUGUAAAGCUCUUUUACCCGGGAUGAUAAUGACAGUACCGGGAGAAUAAGCUCCGGCUAACUCCGUG
RNAcentral lists this ribosomal RNA (433 nucleotides) under uncultured bacterium. RNAcentral describes it as "partial 16S ribosomal RNA". It matches the Rfam family "Bacterial small subunit ribosomal RNA", at positions 29 to 507 of the family's 1533-position model. The record is from RNAcentral.